RNAcentral lists this ribosomal RNA (1412 nucleotides) under uncultured bacterium. Its description in RNAcentral is "bacterial SSU rRNA". It matches the Rfam family "Bacterial small subunit ribosomal RNA". The record is from RNAcentral.
GAAUUCGCCCUUAGAGUUUGAUCCUGGCUCAGGAUGAACGCUGGCGGCGUGCUUAACACAUGCAAGUCGAACGAAGCACUGAAAGCAGAUUACUUCGGUUUGAAGCUUUCUUUGACUGAGUGGCGGACGGGUGAGUAACGCGUGGGUAACCUGCCUCAUACAGGGGGAUAACAGUUAGAAAUGACUGCUAAUACCGCAUAAGCGCACGGUUUCGCAUGGAACAGUGUGAAAAACUCCGGUGGUAUGGGAUGGACCCGCGUCUGAUUAGCUGGUUGGCGGGGUAACGGCCCACCAAGGCGACGAUCAGUAGCCGGCCUGAGAGGGUGAACGGCCACAUUGGGACUGAGACACGGCCCAAACUCCUACGGGAGGCAGCAGUGGGGAAUAUUGCACAAUGGGGGAAACCCUGAUGCAGCGACGCCGCGUGAAGGAAGAAGUAUUUCGGUAUGUAAACUUCUAUCAGCAGGGAAGAAAAUGACGGUACCUGACUAAGAAGCCCCGGCUAACUACGUGCCAGCAGCCGCGGUAAUACGUAGGGGGCAAGCGUUAUCCGGAUUUACUGGGUGUAAAGGGAGCGUAGGCGGCGAUGCAAGUCAGAAGUGAAAGCCCGGGGCUCAACUCCGGGACUGCUUUUGAAACUGUGUUGCUAGAUUGCAGGAAGAGGUAAGUGGAAUUCCUAGGUGUAGCGGGUGAAAUGCGUAGAAUAUUAGGGAGGAACACCAGUCGGCGAGGGCGGCGUACUGGACUGUAAAUGACGCCUGAGGCCUCGAAAGCGUGGGGAGCAAACAGGAUUAGAUACCCUGGUAGUCCACGCCCGUAAACGAUGAAUACUAGGUGUCAGGGAGCAAAGCUCUUUGGUGCCGCAGCAAACGCAGUAAGUAUUCCACCUGGGGAGUACGUUCGCAAGAAUGAAACUCAAAGGAAUUGACGGGGACCCGCACAAGCGGUGGAGCAUGUGGUUCAAUUCGAAGCAACGCGAAGAACCUUACCAAGUCUUGACAUCCGGAUGACCGGAACUUAACCGUUCCUUCCCUUCGGGGCAUCCGAGACAGGUGGUGCAUGGUUGUCGUCAGCUCGUGUCGUGAGAUGUUCAGUUAAGUCUGGCAACGAGCGCAACCCUCGUGAUGUGUUACCAAUAUCGAGUUAGGGACUCACAUCAGACUGCCGGUGAGAAACCGGAGGAAGGCGGGGAGGACGUCAAAUCAUCAUGCCCCUUAUGGCCUGGGCUACACACGUACUACAAUGGCGGCGACAGAGGGCAGCGAGCCUGCGAAGGCAAGCGAAUCCCCAAAAAGCCGUCCCAGUUCGGAUUGGAGUCUGCAACCCGACUCCAUGAAGUUGGAAUCGCUAGUAAUCGCGGAUCAGCAUGCCGCGGUGAAUACGUUCUCGGGCCUUGCACUCACCGCCCGUCA